This 253-nucleotide ribosomal RNA is filed under the name uncultured bacterium. Its description in RNAcentral is "partial 16S ribosomal RNA". It matches the Rfam family "Bacterial small subunit ribosomal RNA", at positions 524 to 776 of the family's 1533-position model. The record is from RNAcentral.
UACGGAGGGUGCAAGCGUUAAUCGGAAUUACUGGGCGUAAAGCGCACGUAGGCGGAUCGAUCAGUCAGGCGUGAAAUCCCCGGGCUUAACCUGGGAAUGGCACUUGAAACUACGAUGCUGGAGUAUGGCAGAGGGAGGUGGAAUUCCACGUGUAGCGGUGAAAUGCGUAGAGAUGUGGAGGAACACCGAUGGCGAAGGCAGCCUCCUGGGCCAAUACUGACGCUCAUGCACGAAAGCGUGGGGAGCAAACAGG